Molecule: ribosomal RNA, 83 nt
Filed under: Oscillospiraceae bacterium
Lineage: Bacteria; Bacillati; Bacillota; Clostridia; Eubacteriales; Oscillospiraceae
Description: partial 16S ribosomal RNA
Rfam family: Bacterial small subunit ribosomal RNA
Source: RNAcentral
UUUAUUGAGAGUUUGAUCCUGGCUCAGGACGAACGCUGGCGGCGUGCCUAACACAUGCAAGUCGAGCGAGAAUUUAGUAAUUG